CGCUAUCACUCCUACGGGAGGCAGCAGUGGGGAAUAUUGCACAAUGGGCGCAAGCCUGAUGCAGCCAUGCCGCGUGUAUGAAGAAGGCCUUCGGGUUGUAAAGUACUUUCAGCAGUGAGGAAGGCAGGUACGUUAAUAGCGUGCUUGUUUGACGUUAGCUGCAGAAGAAGCACCGGCUAACUCCGUGCCAGCAGCCGCGGUAAUACGGAGGGUGCGAGCGUUAAUCGGAAUUACUGGGCGUAAAGCGCAUGCAGGUGGUUUGUUAAGUCAGAUGUGAAAGCCCGGGGCUCAACCUCGGAAUUGCAUUUGAAACUGGCAGACUAGAGUACUGUAGAGGGGGUAGAAUUUCAGGUGUAGCGGUGAAAAUGCGUAGAGAUCUGAAGGAAUACCAGUGGCGAAGGCGGCCCCCUGGACAAAGACUGACGCUCAGAUGCGAAAGCGUGGGGAGCAAACAGGAUUAGAUACCCUGGUAG
RNAcentral lists this ribosomal RNA (473 nucleotides) under uncultured bacterium. RNAcentral's name for it is "bacterial SSU rRNA". It matches the Rfam family "Bacterial small subunit ribosomal RNA", at positions 328 to 793 of the family's 1533-position model. The record is from RNAcentral.